UUCCCCCAAACCCAACGCCGAUCACCCGAGCCUUCCUCCUCUCCUUCCUUCCCCAAUCUCCCCUCUCUUCUUCCUCUGUUCUCUCUCUCGCGGACAAGCGACGACGACGGGAGCAAGGCCCUAGCUCCGGCGAUCCUUCUCCGCCGGCAUCGACGCCUAUUGAUCUCAGAUCCGGCCAGCGUUUCUUUCAUUCUCUGGGUUGCAGAUUGCUGGAUCGAUCCAGAUUCAUCGAUCGCUACCGUGGAAGAUGCCUUAGGGCUUCGAGGUUUCCAGAAUGAUCCGUGUAUCCUCAAGUUGGAUCAGAUUAGGUGAUACCUUCUGGAGACAAUCGAUUGAGGGAGGUGUUCUUGAGCUGCCGGGCAGAGGCUAGCUUGAUCAGAGUCUUCCUGCUGGAUUCCUGCUUGAUACGAUUGAUAGCAGCAAGUAGGAAGGAUUUUAGCAGCGAGGUUGUGUUGCUGUGAUGCUGGAAUUAUGGUCAUUGAGGUGGUAUACAGCAGCGUUUCUAGUUCCGGCAACUCUCCAAUAGCAGCACCAUUUCUUUGUGUGGAUCAACAGAACAGUGCUAGGAAUUUAGGACUCUGAUUCGAGACGGGCGUCUCAACUUUGGAUCGCUUGAUAGUACCUUCUAUUUGAUG
Long non-coding RNA from Zingiber officinale, 635 nucleotides. RefSeq lists it as uncharacterized. The record is from RefSeq and is a predicted model, not a curated record. NCBI's taxonomy places the organism in Eukaryota, Viridiplantae, Streptophyta, Magnoliopsida, Zingiberales, Zingiberaceae. The transcript has 5 exons.